Molecule: long non-coding RNA, 670 nt
Filed under: Physcomitrium patens
Lineage: Eukaryota; Viridiplantae; Streptophyta; Bryopsida; Funariales; Funariaceae
Description: long non-coding RNA (PPAT_LNC006857)
Source: RNAcentral
ACUGCUCUAGGUUGGCUACUGCAGUCUUGUUAUCAAGCUAAAAAUAGUACUCUUUCCUCACUAAAGCGAUCCACCCUUUAAGAAAAGCGAUCCAUCAACUGAACCAAAAAGCUCCCUCACAUCGUAGACAAUUGAAACGAGGUUUUCAGUGACAAGACAUUUCGUAAGGAACGAAGCCUUCAAGUUCAGGUCCAUUGAGACGAGGAUUGUUUUCAAAGCUGCAUCCACAACCAUUCGAAAGCAUUUCUUCAGUCAGAAAGAACUGACUUGAUACACCUCUAAACUAAACUAUUUCGAGAGAACGUACAUGAAUUUUCACAGAUUCAAGGGAAGUGGCACCGAAUAGGGUUUCAAGAGCCAAGCGGAGAUUAACUUUUGUUUAAAUUGAGAACUCACCUUUUGGCUUGAAGGUGACUGAAAGAGCCCGUAACUGGAAUGGUGCCGCAUAAGUCAUUGUUUGACAUAUCACUGUAACCCGUAUUCCACACAAAGAGUCGAUCAGCUCAAAUCUUCAUUUUACAAAGCACCACGAGAAAAUAUUCUGUGCAACAAACAUGUCCAUUAUCAUGCCAAAGCUCUCACUUAAGCAACGAAGCUUUCUAGCGCUAUUUUAGGCUGGCUAAACUAGAAACCUUAGACCUUGACCUUAGCGCUGACUACAGGAUCGUCC